Molecule: ribosomal RNA, 1002 nt
Filed under: uncultured bacterium
Lineage: Bacteria
Description: bacterial SSU rRNA
Rfam family: Bacterial small subunit ribosomal RNA
Source: RNAcentral
AGUGAGGAAUAUUGCACAAUGGGGGCAACCCUGAUGCAGCAACGCCGCGUGGAGGAUGACGCAUUUCGGUGUGUAAACUCCUUUUAUAUGUCAAGAAAAUGACGGUAGCAUAUGAAUAAGCACCGGCUAACUCCGUGCCAGCAGCCGCGGUAAUACGGAGGGUGCAAGCGUUAUUCGGAAUCACUGGGCGUAAAGGACGCGUAGGCGGGUUGGUAAGUCAGAUGUGAAAUCCUACAGCUUAACUGUAGAACUGCAUUUGAAACUACUAACCUAGAGUAUGGGAGGGGGAGAUGGAAUUAGUGGUGUAGGGGUAAAAUCCGUAGAUAUCACUAGGAAUACCGAAAGCGAAGGCGAUCUCCUGGAACAUAACUGACGCUAAGGCGUGAAAGCGUGGGGAGCAAACAGGAUUAGAUACCCUGGUAGUCCACGCCCUAAACGAUGAACACUAGUCGUCGGGAUGCUAGUCAUCUCGGUGAUGCACUUAACAGAUUAAGUGUUCCGCCUGGGGAGUACGGUCGCAAGAUUAAAACUCAAAGGAAUAGACGGGGACCCGCACAAGUGGUGGAGCAUGUGGUUUAAUUCGAAGAUACGCGAAGAACCUUACCUAGCCUUGACAUUGAAGAAAUAGACCAGAGAUGGACUAGUGCCCUUCGGGGAAUCUGAAAACAGGUGCUGCACGGCUGUCGUCAGCUCGUGUCGUGAGAUGUUGGGUUAAGUCCCGCAACGAGCGCAACCCUCGUCCUUAGUUGCUAGCAGUUUGGCUGAGCACUCUAAGGAGACUGCCUUCGCAAGGAGGAGGAAGGUGAGGACGACGUCAAGUCAUCAUGGCCCUUAUGGCUAGGGCUACACACGUGCUACAAUGGGGCGUACAGAGUGUUGCGAUACCGCGAGGUGGAGCUAAUCACUUAAAGCGUCUCUCAGUUCGGAUUGGAGUCUGCAACUCGACUCCAUGAAGCUGGAAUCACUAGUAAUCGUAGAUCAGCAAUGCUACGGUGAAUACGU